AUUAAGUUCAUUUUUAGUUUCUAGAUACAAUAUUUUGACUUUUCAUCUUAUUUAAAAAAAUUGCAAUUAAUAUUUUUAUUAUUAUUAGAUGGUAAAACAUGAAUAGUGCUUUAUGCGUGACUAUUUUUUUUAGUUUUUUUAUAAAUUUUUUAAAUAAGACAAUGGUCAAAAUAUUGGACACAGGAAUCGAAAAAUGAGGUUAUU
This 204-nucleotide microRNA precursor is filed under the name Oryza brachyantha (malo sina). RNAcentral's name for it is "MIR812 microRNA precursor family". It matches the Rfam family "MIR812 microRNA precursor family". Lineage: Eukaryota; Viridiplantae; Streptophyta; Magnoliopsida; Poales; Poaceae. The record is from Rfam by way of RNAcentral.